AUUGAACGCUGGCGGAAUGCUUUACACAUGCAAGUCGAACGGCAGCACGGGGGCAACCCUGGUGGCGAGUGGCGAACGGGUGAGUAAUACAUCGGAACGUGCCCAGUCGUGGGGGAUAACGUAGCGAAAGUUACGCUAAUACCGCAUACGAUCUACGGAUGAAAGCGGGGGACCGUAAGGCCUCGCGCGAUUGGAGCGGCCGAUGUCAGAUUAGGUAGUUGGUGAAGUAAAGGCUCACCAAGCCGACGAUCUGUAGCUGGUCUGAGAGGACGACCGGCCACCCUGGGACUGCGACACGGCCCAGACUCCUACGGGGGGCAGCAGUGGGGAAUUUUGGACAAUGGGCGCAAGCCUGAUCCAGCCAUUCCGCGUGCAGGACGAAGGCCUUCGGGUUGUAAACUGCUUUUGUACGGAACGAAAAGGCUCUGGUUAAUACCUGGGGCUCAUGACGGUACCGUAAGAAUAAGCACCGGCUAACUACGUGCCAGCCGCCGCGGUAA
RNAcentral lists this ribosomal RNA (500 nucleotides) under uncultured bacterium. RNAcentral's name for it is "partial 16S ribosomal RNA". It matches the Rfam family "Bacterial small subunit ribosomal RNA", at positions 30 to 523 of the family's 1533-position model. The record is from RNAcentral.